GGCCAUAUAGCGUUGAAACAUCGGUUCCCGUACGAUUACCAAAAUUAAGCAACGCCGAGCCAGAUCAGUACCUAGAUGGGUGACUACUUGCGAAUACCAGGUGCUGUAA
This is a non-coding RNA of Acanthosepion pharaonis, 109 nucleotides long. The record is from the annotation of a GenBank genome assembly. Lineage: Eukaryota; Metazoa; Mollusca; Cephalopoda; Sepiida; Sepiidae.